Cyprinus carpio (common carp) is the source of this 1231-nucleotide long non-coding RNA. The record is from Ensembl. NCBI's taxonomy places the organism in Eukaryota, Metazoa, Chordata, Actinopteri, Cypriniformes, Cyprinidae.
AACCUUUUCCCCCCUUUCAACUAAAACUUUUUUCAUUAUGGCACAAGAUCACAUGGGUAAUUAUAAAAGAACACUGCGCAAAGAAAAAGAAACUCCUCGUAAGUUUUAAUAGACUCCUCAUUGUUUUUGAAGCUCAAAGAUCACGUCACACUGGCUGCUCUCGUCGUCUGGCAUCGUCCAUCGAGGCCUCAUCCGCCGUGCUGUUGAGUUAUACAUCAACCUCUGCUGUCCAACACAUCCUCUUGUGAGAACUAAUCAGAUGAGAUCUCAAGGUUAUGUUCCCUGCAAGUGAUUUUGAAGAAGAACUUCUACUUUCGUAUCACUUGACCCUCUUGACAAGGUGGACAGCAGACGUUGCUUUCUUUCAUUUUAACACAGUGUCUACAUUGGAUGCGUCCAACAUUGUUACUUGAAGUUCACACUGCUGUAGCAAGCUUUUUUUUGUCACUGCAGGCCAUUUUCAGAAACUUUUGAUGGCUGGAGGUCACUGAGUCUCUGUACUGCUGGUUUUUACUAGGCAUUUCUAUGCUUCCUCGGUAUCUGCACUCUCGCAUAGCAAUCUGCUCAACUCAGAUCACCAGCUGUCAUUGAAAACGAAGGACUUCCAGUCAGUCAAUAGUUAACUUCAAAAUUGUGUGCCACAAAACCAGAAAUGUGUUAUUAAAAUAGCUAGUUUUAAAGGUGGUAAUGUGUUUUAACUUUUUUUAAUGUUAAUCUUACUUGCUCCUUCAGACCAGGGUUGGGUAAAUCUCAGAAUUGGCUCUCUUUCAUUUCAUGAGUGUGAAUUUUAUCUAUCUAUCUAUCUAUCUAUCUAUCUAUCUAUCUAUCUAUCUAUCUAUUCUGUCGUUCGGUCGUUCUAUCGUUUCAGUCUUUCUAUCUGUCAUUCGGUCAUUCUGUCUUUCUUUUAAAAUAACUUGUUGGAUAUUCACAUCUGUGAGUGACUGAUUUGGCGAGUGAUUUUAGACUAUUUAAUUAGUUGAAAUGUGUAUGAGAGAAUGACUAUAUAACCUGAAGUAAAUGAAUGAAAGUCAGGCCUUUGCAAGUAAAAUUAUAUGACAAGUCAUUUUAGUUUGUCUGGGGCAAUGCAAAGACCCACAGAUCAACAGAGAUGGUUUUGAGAAUUUAUGUUGUGCAUUUACUGUUUUAUGCACAGAAAGUGUAAAGGAAAGAUUUUGUUUUUUAAUGUCCAAUUCUAUUUUUAUUGUAAUAAAGUUGUUGAGCCAAUACUUCA